UACGAAGGGGGCUAGCGUUGCUCGGAAUCACUGGGCGUAAAGCGCACGUAGGCGGACUCUUAAGUCGGGGGUGAAAGCCCAGGGCUCAACCCUGGAACUGCCUUCGAUACUGGGAGUCUUGAGUGUGGUAGAGGUUGGUGGAACUGCGAGUGUAGAGGUGAAAUUCGUAGAUAUUCGCAAGAACACCAGUGGCGAAGGCGGCCAACUGGACCAUUACUGACGCUGAGGUGCGAAAGCGUGGGGAGCGAACCGG
RNAcentral lists this ribosomal RNA (253 nucleotides) under uncultured bacterium. RNAcentral describes it as "partial 16S ribosomal RNA". It matches the Rfam family "Bacterial small subunit ribosomal RNA", at positions 524 to 776 of the family's 1533-position model. The record is from RNAcentral.